CAAUAGCGUAUAUUAAAGUUGUUGCAGUUAAAAAGCUCGUAGUUGGAUUUGUGGUGUACUUCGGCGGCCCGUCACUAUGUGAUGGAGCUUGCUGAAGUCGCCAUCCUUGGGUGGAUCCUGUGUGGCAUUAAGUUGUCGUGCAGGGGGUGCCCAUCGUUUACUGUGAAAAAAUUAGAGUGUUCAAAGCAGGCUUAUGCCGUUGAAUAUAUUAGCAUGGAAUAAUAAGAUAGGACCUUGGUACUAUUUUGUUGGUUUGCGCACCAAGGUAAUGAUUAAUAGGGACAGUUGGGGGCAUUCGUAUUUCAUUGUCAGAGGUGAAAUUCUUGGAUUUUUGAAAGACGAACUACUGCGAAAGCAUUUACCAAGGAUGUUUUCAUUAA
This 380-nucleotide ribosomal RNA is filed under the name uncultured eukaryote. Its description in RNAcentral is "partial 18S ribosomal RNA". It matches the Rfam family "Eukaryotic small subunit ribosomal RNA", at positions 592 to 976 of the family's 1831-position model. The record is from RNAcentral.